AGGACGAACGCUGGCGGCGUGCCUAAUACAUGUAAGAGAGCGAGCGGAACUAACAGAUUUACUUCGGUAAUGACGUUAGGAAAGCGAGCGGCGGAUGGGUGAGUAACACGUGGGGAACCUGCCCCAUAGUCUGGGAUACCACUUGGAAACAGGUGCUAAUACCGGAUAAGAAAGCAGAUCGCAUGAUCAGCUUUUAAAAGGCGGCGUAAGCUGUCGCUAUGGGAUGGCCCCGCGGUGCAUUAGCUAGUUGGUAAGGUAAAGGCUUACCAAGGCGAUGAUGCAUAGCCGAGUUGAGAGACUGAUCGGCCACAUUGGGACUGAGACACGGCCCAAACUCCUACGGGAGGCAGCAGUAGGGAAUCUUCCACAAUGGACGCAAGUCUGAUGGAGCAACGCCGCGUGAGUGAAGAAGGUUUUCGGAUCGUAAAGCUCUGUUGUUGGUGAAGAAGGAUAGAGGUAGUAACUGACCUUUGUUUGACGGUAAUCAAUUAGAAAGUCACGGCUAACUACGUGCCAGCAGCCGCGGUAAUACGUAGGUGGCAAGCGUUGUCCGGAUUUAUUGGGCGUAAAGCGAGUGCAGGCGGCUCGAUAAGUCUGAUGUGAAAGCCUUCGGCUCAACCGGAGAAUUGCAUCAGAAACUGUCGAGCUUGAGUACAGAAGAGGAGAGUGGAACUCCAUGUGUAGCGGUGAAAUGCGUAGAUAUAUGGAAGAACACCGGUGGCGAAGGCGGCUCUCUGGUCUGUUACUGACGCUGAGGCUCGAAAGCAUGGGUAGCGAACAGGAUUAGAUACCCUGGUAGUCCAUGCCGUAAACGAUGAGUGCUAAGUGUUGGGAGGUUUCCGCCUCUCAGUGCUGCAGCUAACGCAUUAAGCACUCCGCCUGGGGAGUACGACCGCAAGGUUGAAACUCAAAGGAAUUGACGGGGGCCCGCACAAGCGGUGGAGCAUGGUGGUUUAAUUCGAAGCACGCGAAGAACCUUACCAGGUCUUGACAUCCAUAGCAGUCUAGAGAUUAGAUGUUCCCUUCGGGGACUAU
This 1035-nucleotide ribosomal RNA is filed under the name uncultured bacterium. RNAcentral describes it as "bacterial SSU rRNA". It matches the Rfam family "Bacterial small subunit ribosomal RNA", at positions 26 to 1030 of the family's 1533-position model. The record is from RNAcentral.